Anthonomus grandis grandis is the source of this 814-nucleotide long non-coding RNA. RefSeq lists it as uncharacterized. NCBI's taxonomy places the organism in Eukaryota, Metazoa, Arthropoda, Insecta, Coleoptera, Curculionidae. The record is from RefSeq and is a predicted model, not a curated record. The transcript is spliced from 3 exons.
CUCACGUUGGUUGCUAUCGGGCUUAAGCCAUAAAAAUCGAAGAAAAAAAGAAGAAGACGAAGAGACUUUCACUUGUCAUUUCAAUGUCACUUUCCGGCCCACAAGCAUAAACGCCACCGGCAACGGAAGUUCCCAAAAUCCAAACAAAUGUUGGAAGAUAUUUUUAAGUCUCCGCAUCUUUCUUACUUUCCUAUAUGAAAAUAAAAUGUAAGUAUCACAAUUACACACAUACAAGUUUUUUUUUUUAAUUCAGUUUCAUAAUUACCAAUUUUUAGUGAAUAAUCCUGAAAUUUAUGAAAAUACAUACAUUUUAAGGUUAUGUCAUAAUGUUUUGAUUGUUAUAUUUGAUUUUGUUUUUGUUAUUUUAGUGGACUACACCAACAAAGGUUAUGUGUUUUGCACCAGAUUGAAAGCAUCAUAGCGAAAAACGGACCUGUCAUAUCUUUAAAUUUUCAAAAGAGCCCCUGGAAAAAGAAAAAUGAAUAUCUUUGCCAAGGAAUAGGUACUAAGGCAAAUGGAUAAAAAACCUUCAGUCCAUGCAUUGGUAUGUAAUUGUUGACAAAAAUACAAUGAAUGGCCUCACUACUUUUCCACAUGCAAAGAGGUUAACCAAGGAGAAAUUAAAGAAAUUGUCAAAAACCUAGGUAAAUACAGAAUUGCUUAGUACAAACAUAUCUAUACCCAGUACAAGUUCGUCCACUUCUUUGAAGCAUGGUACUUCAAACAGAAACACUGUCAACAAUUUUGUAGAAGGUGAGCCGGUGUCAAAUUCCAGUAAGGGACAUGAUUUCAAUUUUGCACCAACAGCAGAGCU